AUGAAAAAUGCUUAUUUUCUGUACUUCCUUAUGCAGUUUGAAUUACAUGUUUCAUUACGUAAGGUAGUACACACGUUGAUUUUAUUAUCUUGUGCACUCUAUUAUAUAUGUAUGUUUUUUUCUUUUCUGGAAGGAAUUUACAGUAAUCUGUCCUCUACUACUGAAGUAAAAUACUUAAUUAAUCAUAGCAGCAAAAAUAUGUCCAGUACUCACAAGGUUUGCCUCUUUAUGUUUGUACCUGACAAGGGACGAGAAGCCACAAAAGCCACUAAAGGUGAGCCUCGGGAUGCCGAGCUCCCUUGCGAUGUCACCGGUCCACCAGUGUACCAUGUCAGAUAUGAUGCAGCUAGGAGGCAAGCGCUGCUGCUCAAGGAGGUACGCCAUGAGCGGCUCCUGCAGCGCGGCACAGGCCUUCAUGAAGUUCAAGAACAAAUUCUUUGA
Molecule: ribosomal RNA, 441 nt
Filed under: Triticum aestivum (bread wheat)
Lineage: Eukaryota; Viridiplantae; Streptophyta; Magnoliopsida; Poales; Poaceae
Description: partial small subunit ribosomal RNA
Source: RNAcentral